UACAGAGGUCUCGAGCGUUGUUCGGAUUCAUUGGGCGUAAAGGGUGCGUAGGCGGUCUGUCGCGUCGGUUGUGAAACCCAAGGCUCAACCUUGGGCCUGCAAUCGAUACGGGCAGACUAGAGUACUGCAGGGGAGACUGGAAUUCCUGGUGUAGCGGUGGAAUGCGCAGAUAUCAGGAGGAACACCGGUGGCGAAGGCGGGUCUCUGGGCAGUAACUGACGCUGGAGGAGCGAAAGCGUGGGGAGCGAACGG
RNAcentral lists this ribosomal RNA (252 nucleotides) under uncultured bacterium. Its description in RNAcentral is "partial 16S ribosomal RNA". It matches the Rfam family "Bacterial small subunit ribosomal RNA", at positions 524 to 775 of the family's 1533-position model. The record is from RNAcentral.